GUGGGCGCUGGAGAAUUGAGGGGGGCUGCUCCUAGUACGAGAGGACCGGAGUGGACGCAUCACUGGUGUUCGGGUUGUCAUGCCAAUGGCACUGCCCGGUAGCUAAAUGCGGAAGAGAUAAGUGCUGAAAGCAUCUAAGCACGAAACUUGCCCCGAGAUGAUUUCUCCCUGAGACUUUAAGUCUCCUGAAGGAACGUUGAAGACGACGACGUUGAUAGGCCGGGUGUGUAAGCGCAGCGAUGCGUUGAGCUAACCGGUACUAAUGAACCGUGAGGCUUAACCUUA
RNAcentral lists this ribosomal RNA (285 nucleotides) under Klebsiella quasipneumoniae. RNAcentral's name for it is "23S rRNA. Bacterial LSU". It matches the Rfam family "Bacterial large subunit ribosomal RNA", at positions 2647 to 2925 of the family's 2925-position model. The record is from RNAcentral. Lineage: Bacteria; Pseudomonadati; Pseudomonadota; Gammaproteobacteria; Enterobacterales; Enterobacteriaceae.